UCGAACGAUGAAGCCAGCUUGCUGGUGGACUAGUGGCGAACGGGUGAGUAACACGUGGGUGAUCUGCCCCAAACUUUGGGAUAAGCCUGGGAAACUGGGUCUAAUACCGAAUAUGACCACGGAAUGCAUGGUGGGUGGUGGAAAGCUCCGGCGGUUUGGGAUGGGCCCGCGGCCUAUCAGCUUGUUGGUGGGGUAAUGGCCUACCAAGGCGACGACGGGUAGCCGGCCUGAGAGGGCGACCGGCCACACUGGGACUGAGACACGGCCCAGACUCCUACGGGAGGCAGCAGUGGGGAAUAUUGCACAAUGGGCGCAAGCCUGAUGCAGCGACGCCGCGUGAGGGAUGACGGCCUUCGGGUUGUAAACCUCUUUCACCAGGGACGAAGCGAAAGUGACGGUACCUGGAGAAGAAGCACCGGCCAACUACGUGCCAGCAGCCGCGGUAAUACGUAGGGUGCGAGCGUUGUCCGGAAUUACUGGGCGUAAAGAGUUCGUAGGCGGUUUGUCGCGUCGUUCGUGAAAACUUGGGGCUUAACUCCAAGCGUGCGGGCGGAUACGGGCAGACUUGAGCUACUACAGGGGAAACUGGAAUUCCUGGGUGUACCGGGUGAAAUGCCCCAGAUAUCAAGGAAGGAACACCGGGUGGCGAA
This 650-nucleotide ribosomal RNA is filed under the name Williamsia sp. GICR20p. Its description in RNAcentral is "bacterial SSU rRNA". It matches the Rfam family "Bacterial small subunit ribosomal RNA", at positions 62 to 719 of the family's 1533-position model. The record is from RNAcentral. Lineage: Bacteria; Bacillati; Actinomycetota; Actinomycetes; Mycobacteriales; Nocardiaceae.